UACGGAGGGUGCAAGCGUUGUCCGGAAUUAUUGGGUUUAAAGGGUGCGUAGGCGGCUUUUUAAGUCAGAGGUGAAAUCCCACAGCUUAACUGUGGAACUGCCUUUGAUACUGGAAGGCUUGAGUAUAGUAGAGGUAGGCGGAAUUGAAGGUGUAGCGGUGAAAUGCAUAGAUAUCUUCAAGAACACCAAUUGCGUAGGCA
Molecule: ribosomal RNA, 200 nt
Filed under: uncultured bacterium
Lineage: Bacteria
Description: partial 16S ribosomal RNA
Rfam family: Bacterial small subunit ribosomal RNA
Source: RNAcentral